UCUGUCCCUACACGACGCUCUUCCUCUCUGGUAUUUCUUGUGUGUUUGGCUCAUACUAGGGGAUAAGGAGAGAGCAUGAAGUGAGGCUUUGUCAAGUUCUGUGCUGAGGAUGGGGCUGAAAGUUGUUACCGUCCCAGCAUGAUGCUCUAGUGGAGAUGAAGGCCAGGCAGCCCCAGCUGGAGGCCAUAAAGAUCUUGGUGGGAGGAGAGCUAAAUGUCUCUCACUUGACAAGAGAAAGGAGACACUCUAUGAUAUUUCCUCUUACAGACCCAGACUAAGAAAGAAAGGCUCUCAUAUAAAGGAAAAGAUGUGAACCCAACACAGACACGGGUCCAGUUUCAGGAGUCCUGAAGAUACUGUGAGGCACAGCCAUGUUCAAAUCAUUCUCCGUUAUGGAGCUGGCUUCCUGUGGUCCCUCCCUGGGGCCCCCUUGGCUCUCUCCCAUUUUCUGAGACUAUUCCACUCUCUGUAGUGUCUUCUCCCACUCCUCAUGCCCAGCCCUGCCCUUCUAACCCUAACAAACUUAUCUCAAGUCUGAACCCCCCAAAGGCUUGUGCACCCUGGCACCCUAUGAGUGUCCAGCUCAGAGCAGGUGCUCAAGAAGCAUUUUACAAUGAAUGACCCAUCCAUA
Herpailurus yagouaroundi (jaguarundi) is the source of this 631-nucleotide long non-coding RNA. RefSeq lists it as uncharacterized. The transcript is spliced from 4 exons. The record is from RefSeq and is a predicted model, not a curated record. Lineage: Eukaryota; Metazoa; Chordata; Mammalia; Carnivora; Felidae.